Molecule: ribosomal RNA, 292 nt
Filed under: uncultured bacterium
Lineage: Bacteria
Description: partial 16S ribosomal RNA
Rfam family: Bacterial small subunit ribosomal RNA
Source: RNAcentral
GUGUCAGCCGCCGCGGUAAUACAGAGGGUGCGAGCGUUGUCCGGAAUCACUGGGCGUAAAGGGCGCGUAGGUGGCGACCCAAGUCCGUGGUGAAAGCUCGUCGCUUAACGACGAGUCGGCCACGGAGACUGGGUGGCUCGAGCACUGUAGGGGCAGAUGGAAUUCCGGGUGUAGCGGUGGAAUGCGUAGAGAUCCGGAAGAACACCAGUGGCGAAGGCGGUCUGCUGGGCAGUUGCUGACACUGAUGCGCGACAGCGUGGGGAGCAAACAGGAUUAGAAACCCUCGUAGUCC